RNAcentral lists this ribosomal RNA (1349 nucleotides) under metagenome. RNAcentral's name for it is "bacterial LSU rRNA". It matches the Rfam family "Bacterial large subunit ribosomal RNA", at positions 1564 to 2925 of the family's 2925-position model. The record is from RNAcentral.
UGAGUACGAGCGGCUACGGCCGCGAAGUGGAUGAUGUCAAGCUUCCAAGAAAAGCCCUAUACCCGUUAAGGCAUGAUGGCCUGUACCCGAAACCGACACAGGUGGGGUGGUAGAGAAUACCGAGGGGCGCGAGGUAACUCUCUCUAAGGAACUCGGCAAAAUGGCCCCGUAACUUCGGGAGAAGGGGUGCCACCGCGAGGUGGUCGCAGUGAAGAGGCCCAGGCGACUGUUUACCAAAAACACAGGUCUCCGCUAAGUCGCAAGACGAUGUAUGGGGGCUGACGCCUGCCCAGUGCCGGAAGGUUAAGGAAGCUGGUCAGCGCAAGCGAAGCUGGCGACUGAAGCCCCGGUGAACGGCGGCCGUAACUAUAACGGUCCUAAGGUAGCGAAAUUCCUUGUCGGGUAAGUUCCGACCCGCACGAAAGGCGUAACGAUCUGGGCGCUGUCUCGGAGAGAGGCUCGGCGAAAUAGAAUUGUCUGUGAAGAUGCGGACUACGUGCACCCGGACAGAAAGACCCUAUGAAGCUUUACUGUAGCUUGGUAUUGUGCUCGGGCUCGGAAUGCGCAGGAUAGGUGGGAGGCUUUGAUCCAUUGCUUGCGGGUGAUGGUGAGCCACUGGUGAGAUACCACUCUUUCCGAGCUAGAGUUCUAACAGCAACCCGUUAUCCGGGUGCUGGACAGUAUCAGGUGGGCAGUUUGACUGGGGCGGUCGCCUCCUAAAAGGUAACGGAGGCGCGCAAAGGUCUGCUCAGGCUGGUUGGAAAUCAGCCGACGAGUGUAAAAGCAGAAGCAGGCUUGACUGUGAGACCUACAAGUCGAACAGGGAGGAAACUCGGCUUUAGUGAUCCGACGGUUCUGCGUGGAAGGGCCGUCGCUCAACGGAUAAAAGUUACUCUAGGAUAAAAGGCUGAUCUCCCCCAAGAGUUCACAUCGACGGGGAGGUUUGGCACCUCGAUGUCGGCUCAUCGCAACCUGGGGCUGAAGUCGGUCCCAAGGGUUGGGCUGUUCGCCCAUUAAAGCGGUACGCGAGCUGGGUUCAGAACGUCGUGAGACAGUUCGGUCCAUAUCCGGUGCACGCGCAGGAAUAUUGAGAGGAUUUCUCCCUAGUACGAGAGGACCGGGAGGAACGCACCUCUGGUGUGCCAGUUAUCGUGCCAACGGUAAACGCUGGGUAGCCAUGUGCGGAGUGGAUAACCGCUGAAAGCAUCUAAGUGGGAAGCCCACCUCAAGAUGAGUAUUCCCAUGGCAUAAGCCAGUAAGGUCACGGGAAGAACACCCGUUGAUAGGCUCUACGUGGAAGCGCAGUAAUGUGUGAAGCGGAGGAGUACUAAUAGACCGAGGGCUUGACC